GAAUGUGCAAUUGGUUAUACAUCAAAAUCCGGCUAUCCAUGUAAGAAAUGUUCGAUGAAAACAUAUGGAUCAAAAUGUUUAGAACGGUGUGAAUGCAAAUUAGAAAAAUGUGAUCACGUGAGAGGGUGUAUUAGUGAAUCCUCCUCCAAUGAAAGUACUACUCAAAGAUUUAACUACCAGCUGACU
Long non-coding RNA from Mytilus californianus (California mussel), 186 nucleotides. RefSeq lists it as uncharacterized. The transcript is spliced from 3 exons. The record is from RefSeq and is a predicted model, not a curated record. Lineage: Eukaryota; Metazoa; Mollusca; Bivalvia; Mytilida; Mytilidae.